AACGCGAAGAACCUUACCAAGUCUUGACAUCCCCCUGACCGUUCCUUAAUGGGAACCUUUCUUCGGAACAGGGGAGACAGGUGGUGCAUGGUUGUCGUCAGCUCGUGUCGUGAGAUGUUGGGUUAAGUCCCGCAACGAGCGCGACCCUUAUCCUUAGUAGCCAGCAGGUAAAGCUGGGCACUCUAGGGAGACUGCCAGGGAUAACCUGGAGGAAGGUGGGGAUGACGUCAAAUCAUCAUGCCCCUUAUGACUUGGGCUACACACGUGCUACAAUGGCGUAAACAAAGGGAAGCAACACUGUGAAGGGGAGCAAAUCCCAAAAAUAACGUCUCAGUUCGGAUUGUAGGCUGCAACUCGACUGCAUGAAGCUGGAAUCGCUAGUAAUCGCGAAUCAGAAUGCCGCGGUGAAUACGUUCCCGGGUCUUGUACACACCG
This 435-nucleotide ribosomal RNA is filed under the name uncultured bacterium. RNAcentral's name for it is "bacterial SSU rRNA". It matches the Rfam family "Bacterial small subunit ribosomal RNA", at positions 958 to 1392 of the family's 1533-position model. The record is from RNAcentral.